UGUGUUGUGAUGAGUGGCGCAGGGGUACGUACCUCAGCCAAUGAUGGGGGCUGAGUGCCGCUGUAGAGACUGAAUAGGAACAUGUGGUUCUGUCAGAAUCUGCAGCGGUACGAGUCAGACGCCUGACUGAACCGA
Molecule: small nucleolar RNA, 135 nt
Organism: Nothobranchius furzeri (turquoise killifish)
Lineage: Eukaryota; Metazoa; Chordata; Actinopteri; Cyprinodontiformes; Nothobranchiidae
Product: small nucleolar RNA SNORD94
Source: RefSeq, a predicted model, not a curated record